Gymnothorax javanicus (giant moray) is the source of this 73-nucleotide non-coding RNA. The record is from the annotation of a GenBank genome assembly. NCBI's taxonomy places the organism in Eukaryota, Metazoa, Chordata, Actinopteri, Anguilliformes, Muraenidae.
GCCCUGGUGGCUCACUGGUCUAAGCGCGUGCACCAUAACUGCGGCGACCCGGGUUCGAUUCCGGCCCGGGUCA